AUACGUAGGGGGCGAGCGUUGUCCGGAAUUACUGGGCGUAAAGGGUGCGUAGGCGGAAUGUCAAGUCAGAUGUGAAAUACCCGGGCUUAACCCGGGGGCUGCAUUUGAAACUGACAUCCUUGAGUGCAGGAGAGGCAAGUGGAAUUACUAGUGUAGCGGUGAAAUGCGUAGAUAUUAGGAGGAACACCGGUGGCGAAGGCGACUUGCUGGACUGUAACUGACGCUGAGGCACGAAAGCGUGGGGAGCAAACAGGAUUAGAUACCCUGGUAGUCCACGCCGUAAACGAUGGAUACUAGGUGUGGGGUCCGAUAGGAUUCCGUGCCGCAGCAAACGCAAUAAGUAUCCCGCCUGGGGAGUACGAUCGCAAGGUUGAAACUCAAAGGAAUUGACGGGG
RNAcentral lists this ribosomal RNA (395 nucleotides) under uncultured bacterium. Its description in RNAcentral is "partial 16S ribosomal RNA". It matches the Rfam family "Bacterial small subunit ribosomal RNA", at positions 523 to 918 of the family's 1533-position model. The record is from RNAcentral.